Molecule: non-coding RNA, 45 nt
Filed under: Schistosoma margrebowiei
Lineage: Eukaryota; Metazoa; Platyhelminthes; Trematoda; Strigeidida; Schistosomatidae
Source: RNAcentral
AUCCAAAUGAUGAGUCUGAACAGGGACGAAAUGCGCGUCCUGGAU